GAGGGUAUAGCUCAGUGGUAGAGUGAGUGCUUGGCAUGUAUGAGGUCCUGGGUUCAAUCCCCAGUACUCCCA
Molecule: transfer RNA, 72 nt
Filed under: Camelus bactrianus (Bactrian camel)
Lineage: Eukaryota; Metazoa; Chordata; Mammalia; Artiodactyla; Camelidae
Also listed under: 2 other names
Rfam family: tRNA
About the family: Transfer RNA (tRNA) molecules are approximately 80 nucleotides in length. Their secondary structure includes four short double-helical elements and three loops (D, anti-codon, and T loops). Further hydrogen bonds mediate the characteristic L-shaped molecular structure. tRNAs have two regions of fundamental functional importance: the anti-codon, which is responsible for specific mRNA codon recognition, and the 3' end, to which the tRNAs corresponding amino acid is attached (by aminoacyl-tRNA synthetases). tRNAs cope with the degeneracy of the genetic code in two manners: having more than one tRNA (with a specific anti-codon) for a particular amino acid; and 'wobble' base-pairing, i.e. permitting non-standard base-pairing at the 3rd anti-codon position.
Source: Rfam by way of RNAcentral